RNAcentral lists this ribosomal RNA (482 nucleotides) under uncultured bacterium. RNAcentral describes it as "partial 16S ribosomal RNA". It matches the Rfam family "Bacterial small subunit ribosomal RNA", at positions 28 to 507 of the family's 1533-position model. The record is from RNAcentral.
GACGAACGCUGGCGGCGUGCUUAACACAUGCAAGUCGAACGCUGAAGCCCAGCUUGCUGGGUGGAUGAGUGGCGAACGGGUGAGUAACACGUGAGUAACCUGCCCUCUUCUUUGGGAUAACGCCCGGAAACGGGUGCUAAUACUGGAUAUUCACUGAUUCUCGCUUGGGGGUUGGUGGAAAGGUUUUUUCUGGUGGGGGAUGGGCUCGCGGCCUAUCAGCUUGUUGGUGGGGUGAUGGCCUACCAAGGCGUUGUCGGGUAGCCGGGCUGAGAGGGUGACCGGUCACAUUAGGACUGAGAUACGGCCCGGACUCCUACGGGAGGCAGCAGUGGGGAAUAUUGCAGAAUGGGCGAAAGCCUGAUGCAGCGACGCCGCGUGAGGGAUGGAGGCCUUCGGGUUGUAAACCUCUUUCGCUCAUGGUCAAGCCGCAGCUUUGGGUUGUGGUGAGGGUAGUGGGUAAAGAAGCGCCGGCUAACUACGUG